GAUGAAGAACGUAGCGAAAUGCGAUAAGUAAUGUGAAUUGCAGAAUUCAGUGAAUCAUCGAGUCUUUGAACGCACAUUGCGCCCCCUGGUAUUCCGGGGGGCAUGCCUGUCCGAGCGUCAUUGCUGCCCUCAAGCACGGCUUGUGUGUUGGGCCGCCGUCCCCUCUCCACUUCCCCUACUGGGGGGAGUGGGCUUGGGGGGGGGCGGGCCCAAAAGGCAGCGGCGACAUCGCGUCCGGUCCUCGAGCGUUAUGGGGCUUUGUCACCCGCUCUGUAGGCCCGGCCGGUGUUGGCCGACGCUUCGCACCGAAGCAACCCAAUUUUUUCUUCAGGUUGACCUCGGAUCAGGUAGGGAUACCCGCUGAACUUAAGCAUAUCAAUAAGCGGAGGA
RNAcentral lists this unclassified non-coding RNA (390 nucleotides) under soil metagenome. Its description in RNAcentral is "partial contains 5.8S ribosomal RNA, internal transcribed spacer 2, and large subunit ribosomal RNA". The stretch from base 1 to 120 matches the Rfam family "5.8S ribosomal RNA", at positions 35 to 154 of the family's 154-position model. The record is from RNAcentral.